RNAcentral lists this transfer RNA (77 nucleotides) under Bacteriophage sp. RNAcentral describes it as "tRNA-Met". It matches the Rfam family "tRNA". Rfam says of the family: Transfer RNA (tRNA) molecules are approximately 80 nucleotides in length. The record is from RNAcentral.
UGCGGGGUAGAGCAGUUGGUUAGCUCGACGGCCUCAUGAGCCGUAGGUCGGAAGUUCAAGUCUUCCCUCCGCAACCA